UACGGAGGGUGCUAGCGUUGUUCGGAAUUACUGGGCGUAAAGCGCGCGUAGGCGGCUUUGUAAGUUAGAGGUGAAAGCCCGGGGCUCAACCCCGGAACUGCCUUUAAAACUGCAUCGCUUGAAUCCGGGAGAGGUGAGUGGAAUUCCGAGUGUAGAGGUGAAAUUCGUAGAUAUUCGGAAGAACACCAGUGGCGAAGGCGGCUCACUGGACCGGCAUUGACGCUGAGGUGCGAAAGCUUGGGGAGCAAACAGG
RNAcentral lists this ribosomal RNA (253 nucleotides) under uncultured bacterium. RNAcentral's name for it is "partial 16S ribosomal RNA". It matches the Rfam family "Bacterial small subunit ribosomal RNA", at positions 524 to 776 of the family's 1533-position model. The record is from RNAcentral.